GCGUGAUACUAAGAUUUAUUUUAGUCAUAGUAACCCAUGCCAGAGCAAACUGUGUCCCCAAACCAUUGCCUGGCCUCUGUGCCCGUAAGCUGCUGGCACUGAAGUGGCUUGCACAGUG
Callithrix jacchus (white-tufted-ear marmoset) is the source of this 118-nucleotide small nucleolar RNA. The record is from Ensembl. NCBI's taxonomy places the organism in Eukaryota, Metazoa, Chordata, Mammalia, Primates, Cebidae.